GUUGGUACUAAAAAUAACAGGUAAAUAUUGGUGUCGAAAAUACGGGAAAUACCAACCUUGUUUAUCUCCCUUUAUUUCCUUCUCGCUGUGACGUCAUAUGAGUCCUUUGUUACAUUGGUAUCGAAUACAUGUGUUAGAACGUAAACUUGUAAACAACGUUAACCGGCUAUGGUGUUUUGUGUUGCAUACAACUGUAAUACUGGAUCAGGUCAGGGAUUAUGUUUGUUUACAUUUCCGAAAGACCAACAAAGACGAAAGAUUUGGACACGAAAGGUGAAGAGACAAAAUUAAACUUUGUUCAACGGAGCAUUCCAGAUUAUGACCCCAAACACUUGGAUUUUGAUCAAUUUGUUAUUGAUGCAAGGAUUGCCUCGUUCAUGACAUUCACACCAAAUCAGAAUAAGACUGAAAGCAAAUGUUAUGACUUUAUUUAAUUAUGACAAGACGGCAGGAACAAACUUCUGCCCUUCCUGCAGGGAGCCAGCCCAAGUAUGCAUCUAGAACAUAGCCAUAGGAAAAUGACGGAGAUUAGA
Molecule: long non-coding RNA, 533 nt
Filed under: Mytilus galloprovincialis (Mediterranean mussel)
Lineage: Eukaryota; Metazoa; Mollusca; Bivalvia; Mytilida; Mytilidae
Source: RNAcentral